UGCGUAGGCGGGCUAAUAAGUCAGUGGUGAAAUCUUCCGGCUCAACCGGGAACCUGCCAUUGACACUGUUAGUCUUGAGUUCGGCUGAGGUAGGCGGAAUGUGUAAUGUAGCGGUGAAAUGCUUAGAUAUUACACAGAACACCAAUUGCGUAGGCAGCUUACUAGACCGACACUGACGCUGAGGCACGAAAGCGUGGGGAGCGAACAGGAUUAGAUACCCUGGUAGUCC
This 229-nucleotide ribosomal RNA is filed under the name uncultured bacterium. RNAcentral describes it as "partial 16S ribosomal RNA". It matches the Rfam family "Bacterial small subunit ribosomal RNA", at positions 568 to 796 of the family's 1533-position model. The record is from RNAcentral.